RNAcentral lists this ribosomal RNA (478 nucleotides) under uncultured bacterium. Its description in RNAcentral is "partial 16S ribosomal RNA". It matches the Rfam family "Bacterial small subunit ribosomal RNA", at positions 28 to 523 of the family's 1533-position model. The record is from RNAcentral.
GACGAACGCUGGCGGCGUGCUUAACACAUGCAAGUCGAACGGUAAGGCCCUUCGGGGUACACGAGUGGCGAACGGGUGAGUAACACGUGGGUGAUCUGCCCUGCACUUCGGGAUAAGCCUGGGAAACUGGGUCUAAUACCGGAUAGGACCACUGCCUGCAUGGGUGGUGGUGGAAAGCUUUUGCGGUGUGGGAUGGGCCCGCGGCCUAUCAGCUUGUUGGUGGGGUGAUGGCCUACCAAGGCGACGACGGGUAGCCGGCCUGGGAGGGUGACCGGCCACACUGGGACUGAGAGACGGCCCAGACUCCGACGGGAGGCAGCAGUGGGGAAUAUUGCACAAUGGGCGCAAGCCUGAUGCAGCGACGACGCGUGAGGGAUGACGGCCUUCGGGUUGUAAACCUCUUUCAGCACCGACGAAGCGCAAGUGACGGUAGGUGCAGAAGAAGGACCGGCCAACUACGUGCCAGCCGCCGCCGUAA